AGAGUUUGAUUCUGGCUCAGAACGAACGCUGGCAGCGUGGAUUAGGCAUGCAAGUCGAACGGGAAGCCGUUGAUUCAAGUUUUCGGACAAGAAUUUGCGGUGGAGAGUGGCGAAAGGGUGAGUAACGCGUGGGUAAUCUACCCUUAAGUUGGGGAUAACGCCGGGAAACUGGCGCUAAUACCGAAUGUGGUACUCCGGUGCAUAUCGGGGACACUAAAGGUGGGGACUCUUAGGAGCCUGCCGCUUGGGGAGGAGCCCGCGUACGAUCAGCUUGUUGGUGAGGUAAUGGCUCACCAAGGCUACGACCGUUAGCCGGCCUGAGAGGGUGAUCGGCCACACUGGGACUGAGACACUGCCCAGACUCCUACGGGAGGCUGCAGUCGAGGAUCAUUCACAAUGCGCGAAAGCGUGAUGAUGCGACGCUGCGUGGAGGAUGACGGCCUUCGGGUUGUAAACUCCUGUCAUCCGGGAAAAACGAGCGGGUAUUUAAUACGUACUCGCAGUGAUGGUACCGGAAGAGGAAGCCACGGCUAACUCUGUGCCAGCAGCCGCGGUAAUACAGAGGUGGCAAGCGUUGUUCGGAUUUACUGGGCGUAAAGGGUGCGUAGGUGGUCCUGUAUGUCGGGUGUGAAAUCCCACGGCUCAACCGUGGAACUGCAUUCGAAACUGCAGGACUUGAGUACAGGAGGGGAGAGCGGAAUUCUUGGUGUAGCGGUGAAAUGCGUUGAUAUCAAGAAGAACACCGGUGGCGAAGGCGGCUCUCUGGAAUGUUACUGACACUGAGGCACGAAAGCUAGGGGAGCGAACAGGAUUAGAUACCCUGGUAGUCCUAGCUGUAAACGGUGCGCACUUGGUGUUGUGGGUAUUGACCCCCUCAGUGCCGGAGCUAACGCAUUAAGUGCGCCGCCUGGGGAGUACGGCCGCAAGGUUAAAACUCAAAGAAAUUGACGGGGGCCCGCACAAGCGGAGGAGCAUGUGGCUUAAUUCGAUGCAACGCGAAGAACCUUACCAGGGCUUGACAUAUACCUGCACGCCCGCCGAAAGGUGGGAAGCUUUCGAAGGUGGUAUACAGGUGCUGCAUGGCUGUCGUCAGUUCGUGCCGUGAGGUGUUGGGUUAAGUCCCGCAACGAACGCAACCCCUGUGUCUAGUUGCCACCGUAGGUGAUGAGCCUGCGAGCACUCUAGACAGACUGCCUGUACAAGCAGGAGGAAGGUGGGGACGACGUCAAGUCAGUAUGGCCCUUACGCCCUGGGCUGCACACGUGCUACAAUGGCCGGUACAGAAGGAAGCAAUACCGCGAGGUGGAGCAAAUCCCCAAAAACCGGCCUCAGUUCGGAUUGGAGUCUGCAACUCGACUCCAUGAAGUCGGAUUCGCUAGUAACGGCGUAUCAGCUACGACGCCGUGAAUACGUUCCCGGGCCUUGUGCACACCGCCCGUCACAUCAUGAAAGCCGUCUGCACCCGAAGUCAUUGAGCCAACCCGUAAGGGAGGCAGGUGCCGAAGGUGUGGGUGGUGAUUGGGAUGAAGUCGUAACAAGGUA
RNAcentral lists this ribosomal RNA (1542 nucleotides) under metagenome. RNAcentral describes it as "bacterial SSU rRNA". It matches the Rfam family "Bacterial small subunit ribosomal RNA". The record is from RNAcentral.